GACGCCCAAGGAUGAAGGAAAAGACUGUAGCGACGGCCUCUUAAUUUUCUUCACAAGCAUCCAAAUCAUGGACGCAGUGGAGACGUGGACGUGGAUUGACUCCGUUACUCGCUUCCCUCCAACCCUGUGAAUGUGUGCUUUUAGUCCGCUGUUGUCCCGACCGGACCCUCACAUGAUCACGUUGAGUGGACAUCUGAUUGAUUGAGGCUGAUGGCGUCAAGAGUGACAGACUUUGACCCAGUCUCCUCCGAUGGUUCGUGAUCAUGUGUCAGAUUAUUAAAUACACUUAAUUUUAUAAAUUAAUUUUUUUCAUGUAGACUUUUUUUUUCCCCUUUCUUUUUGGUUUUUUCCCCUUGCCACUUAAUAUCUUGAAACAUUUAAGCAUGUUAGGUUUGUUACCUAUCCAAUUCACUUCAUAUUAA
Prosopis cineraria is the source of this 422-nucleotide long non-coding RNA. RefSeq lists it as uncharacterized. The transcript is spliced from 2 exons. NCBI's taxonomy places the organism in Eukaryota, Viridiplantae, Streptophyta, Magnoliopsida, Fabales, Fabaceae. The record is from RefSeq and is a predicted model, not a curated record.